AUUGAACGCUGGCGGCAGGCCUAACACAUGCAAGUCGAGCGGAUGAAGGGAGCUUGCUCCUGGAUUCAGCGGCGGACGGGUGAGUAAUGCCUAGGAAUCUGCCUGGUAGUGGGGGAUAACGUCCGGGAACGGGCGCUAAUACCGCAUACGUCCUGAGGGAGAAAGUGGGGGCUCUUCGGACCUCACGCUAUCAGAUGAGCCUAGGUCGGAUUAGCUAGUUGGUGGGGUAAAGGCCUACCAAGGCGACGAUCCGUAACUGGUCUGAGAGGAUGAUCAGUCACACUGGAACUGAGACACGGUCCAGACUCCUACGGGAGGCAGCAGUGGGGAAUAUUGGACAAUGGGCGAAAGCCUGAUACAGCCAUGCCGCGUGUGUGAAGAAGGUCUUCGGAUUGUAAAGCACUUUAAGUUGGGAGGAAGGGCAGUAAGUUAAUACCUUGCUGUUUUGACGUUACCAACAGAAUAAGCACCGGCUAACUUCGUG
This 484-nucleotide ribosomal RNA is filed under the name uncultured bacterium. RNAcentral describes it as "partial 16S ribosomal RNA". It matches the Rfam family "Bacterial small subunit ribosomal RNA", at positions 30 to 507 of the family's 1533-position model. The record is from RNAcentral.